This 520-nucleotide ribosomal RNA is filed under the name uncultured Glomeromycotina. Its description in RNAcentral is "SSU rRNA". It matches the Rfam family "Eukaryotic small subunit ribosomal RNA", at positions 569 to 1084 of the family's 1831-position model. The record is from RNAcentral. Lineage: Eukaryota; Fungi; Glomeromycota.
AGCAGCCGCGGUAAUUCCAGCUCCAAUAGCGUAUAUUAAAGUUGUUGCAGUUAAAAAGCUCGUAGUUGAAUUUCGGGAUUUGCAUAUCGGUCGUGCCUUAAGGGGUAUGAACUGGUGUAGUGAAUUUCUCACCUUCUGGAGAACCGUGAUGUCCUUAAUUGGGUGCCACGAGGAACCAGGACCUUUACUUUGAAAAAUUAGAGUGUUUAAAGCAGGCAUUUUUGCUUGAAUACAUUAGCAUGGAAUAAUAAAAUAGGACGGCAUGAUUCUAUUUUGUUGGUUUCUAGGAUCACCGUAAUGAUUAAUAGGGAUAGUUGGGGGCAUUAGUAUUCAAUUGUCAGAGGUGAAAUUCUUGGAUUUAUUGAAGACUAACUACUGCGAAAGCAUUUGCCAAGGAUGUUUUCAUUAAUCAAGAACGAAAGUUAGGGGAUCGAAGACGAUCAGAUACCGUCGUAGUCUUAACCAUAAACUAUGCCGACUAGGAAUCAGACGAUGUUAAUUUUUUAAUGACUCGUUUGGC